GGGAGGCAGCAGUAGGGAAUCUUCCGCAAUGGGCGAAAGCCUGACGGAGCAACGCCGCGUGAGUGAUGAAGGUCUUCGGAUCGUAAAACUCUGUUAUUAGGGAAGAACAUAUGUGUAAGUAACUGUGCACAUCUUGACGGUACCUAGUCAGAAAGCCACGGCUAACUACGUGCCAGCAGCCGCGGUAAUACGUAGGUGGCAAGCGUUAUCCGGAAUUAUUGGGCGUAAAGCGCGCGUAGGCGGUUUUUUAAGUCUGAUGUGAAAGCCCACGGCUCAACCGUGGAGGGUCAUUG
This 293-nucleotide ribosomal RNA is filed under the name Staphylococcus aureus. RNAcentral's name for it is "partial 16S ribosomal RNA". It matches the Rfam family "Bacterial small subunit ribosomal RNA", at positions 343 to 628 of the family's 1533-position model. The record is from RNAcentral. Lineage: Bacteria; Bacillati; Bacillota; Bacilli; Caryophanales; Staphylococcaceae.